AACACUGUUAACCUGCGGUACCUGCGGAGGGAUCAUUACCAGAGUGCCUUCAGGCUCUCCAACCCACUGUGAACAUACCUACGUUCCCCCGGCGGGCCCAGCGCGCGGCGAGGUCCUCCUCGCCCCGCGUCCGCCGAGGGCAUCUCAAACCCGAUUUUAUGUCGUGUCUUCUGAGGGGCGAAAGCCCGUAAAACAAAAUGAAUCAAAACUUUUAACAACGGAUCUCAGAUCGGAAGAGCA
RNAcentral lists this unclassified non-coding RNA (240 nucleotides) under soil metagenome. RNAcentral describes it as "partial contains 5.8S ribosomal RNA, internal transcribed spacer 2, and large subunit ribosomal RNA". The record is from RNAcentral.